Molecule: long non-coding RNA, 1088 nt
Organism: Eucalyptus grandis
Lineage: Eukaryota; Viridiplantae; Streptophyta; Magnoliopsida; Myrtales; Myrtaceae
Exons: 6
Source: RefSeq, a predicted model, not a curated record
UUAGAUCCAAUGGUGCUUCCUCGUACAUUAGAAGGCAUUGGUCAUUUGAGAACGAUCAAAAUGAGGAAGAGGAAUUUUGCCGAGGAAUCAUCAACAGUAGCUGAAGGCUUUUGUGCCCACCUUGAAGAGGCUUACGGGCCAACUGGAGUGUAUUGGUAAAAAAUUUUAUGCCUGUGAAGAUCAAAGUACUUGAUCUGGUCUCAACAGCAUGUACUUGAAAAAGUUCUUUGAUGCACCUGCGUUCUAAUGAUAUCAUUCCCAAACUCAAUCAGGCUUUGCAAAUAGAGGUAGCACUGCCAAUCCUCCCAUAACUGUGAGAGAAGUUGUUGGAUGCGGUUGCUUCUAAUAAUAUCAUUCCUGAACUUAAUGGGGCUCUGCAGAGGAAGGUUACCCCGAUGCAGAGUUGUUUGGUAAAAGCUUAAAGAAGAAGAAGGAAGAAGAAGAGAAGCUCUCUUGUGCCAAACAGCAUUUUCUGGUUGUGUUCGAUGAAGUUAUUCGAAAGUCCUUGCUCAUGAAAUUUUACGGUCUGAUCUCACUUUCUAGCCAAAACAGCACUUUUCACUAUACGUGUUCAAUUAAUUUUAUAGAAGCCAUUAGUGAUGACCCAGGAAAAAGGAAAUGAAGCGGAACGUCAAGAAGGUGGUAUUUGCGCCAUUUUCCUUAUUUCCUAGUUAGUAAUGCUAUUGGAAGAGAAUGUCUUCAAGGUUCAGGCAUAACAGAAGGAUUGGUGAGGAUUGCAGUUACCUUUGCUCCUAGGACCAUCUCAUGUGGACUCUAAUGCCACCUCCUCUGUGGUAUACCGGGGUUUAUAUCAAUAAAUAGUCAAUACGAGACACCAAGGAUCCAAGCAAUAACUGCCGAUGCUCUUUGCAUUAACUGCCGAUGAUCGUGGAGUACGUGAUCACAUCUGGCUCCCCGCCUUCUUCUUACAAAUUCUUCAGCAAUGGAACGGAUUUCCUGGCAUGUGGUUAUAUCUACCUCAUCAAAGUGUUAAAGCUCACAGUAGUUGGUUCUUGUUGCGAUAGAGCGAGUGAUCGAACAAAAUAUAAACGGAAGAAAAAUAAAUCGGACACCGAUUUACGUAGUUC